Molecule: long non-coding RNA, 535 nt
Organism: Lingula anatina
Lineage: Eukaryota; Metazoa; Brachiopoda; Lingulata; Lingulida; Lingulidae
Source: RefSeq, a predicted model, not a curated record
CUUGUAUGGGUAUAUAUUGUUUUCCAGAUGACAGUUACAGAAAUAUUUGACAAGAUUUGUCAAAAUUAUCGUCCAAAGAACAAGAGAUAGUAUGAGGCAAAGGAAGGAAAGAAUGUGGUAGUAUUUCAAUUAGAAUGGGGAAUGAAAGUUCUGCAGAAAAACUUUCAUAAGGUUGGGUGGAAAAGUGGCAAGCUAGAGACAGAUUGGAUUGGACCAUACAGGGUAAAAAAAAUGGACCAGAAGCAGAAUGGAAGGGAAAGAGCAUAAAACCAAGGUGCCUUAGUUAUAUUCACUUGAAACCAUACACAGAAGGGGUUUGGAAAACACCAUGACCAAGCCAAAGUGUUUUUUUUUUUUUUUAGAUUUUUAGGUUUUAAAUGGUCAUGACCACUCUCCUAUGUGAUUUAGAGAUUUUAUUUUUGUCCGCCUGUAGCUUUAAAUUUAUAUCAGAAAAUUCAGAUAUUACUUUUGCCUUGUAAGCAUGCAAUGUUAAAAACUGUGUUAUAGGUCCAACACAGUUGUCUCCAACUUUUAU